CAAGAUCCUCAUUUCCACAUUAACAGCAUCUUGAAGGAGGCUCAUUUCUACAGCCUCCAGCAGAGAGGACACUCUUUGACAUGAUGGCCUAGGCAUCCUUCUUUUGUUUAUAAAAAUCAGUGACAUUCAUGCAAAUCAGUCUUGGCUUUUGUCUGUAUUUUUCAGUAAAAGGUCAAUGGGCAUUGUAUUUUGCUGUUUUGUUCCACCACUACAAUCUCAAAGGGUCAUUCUUGACAGUUUGAUAUGUUUCCUGUCACGUCUGAUGUCUUAUUCAUAUUAAAAUAGCAGCAUGAGGACUUCUCCUGAGACUGAAUGGAUUACAGGUUCAGUUCACAUUGGUUUCCAGGUUGCUCAUUUAGGGUGUCCACAUUAAAUGUUGUUUUAAAAAGUGAUUUCCUUAUUUUGAAAAAUUUAGUGGCCUGAUAAAAGUUUGUGUGUGUUUCAUUGAAAUGUAAAAGAAUAAACAAUGGAGAAGCCAACACCAAACCAGUAAUGAGCAUUGGCAAGGGGGGAAAUGUGGGUAGUGUGUUCUCAUUCUGAUAUGAAUGUGGGCUGAUCCUUGGAAGGGAAACAUCUACAGAAAUCCUCCUCUACCUAUACUGGUGCAAAUGUCAGCCCGCUUAGGUUGUGAACUUGAACCCUGUGUCUGGUAACUACAUUCCUUGUAUUCCAAAGGAGAUGCCUUCUUCCUUUCAUGCUCCUGUGUAUGCCCUUCAGUUUUGUGACAAGCACUUAUAAUUCAGUCAGAGAAGUGCAUAGCAGUGUCUUAAACACAAAAUCUGGAUAUUUACUGCUUCUGUGUUGUCUCUAUCUAUUAUGUCUAAUGGUGAUAAAAUCUAAGCUAUUAC
Molecule: long non-coding RNA, 848 nt
Filed under: Rattus norvegicus (Norway rat)
Lineage: Eukaryota; Metazoa; Chordata; Mammalia; Rodentia; Muridae
Description: long non-coding RNA NONRATT004529
Source: RNAcentral